RNAcentral lists this transfer RNA (74 nucleotides) under Pneumocystis carinii. Its description in RNAcentral is "tRNA-Leu". Lineage: Eukaryota; Fungi; Ascomycota; Pneumocystomycetes; Pneumocystales; Pneumocystaceae. The record is from RNAcentral.
UACGGUAGAAGGGAUUCGAACCCUUAUAAAAUAUGUCCUAAGCAUAUCACGUAUACCCAUUCCGUCACUACCAU